Molecule: ribosomal RNA, 324 nt
Filed under: uncultured bacterium
Lineage: Bacteria
Description: bacterial SSU rRNA
Rfam family: Bacterial small subunit ribosomal RNA
Source: RNAcentral
GAUGAACGCUGGCGGCGUGCUUAACACAUGCAAGUCGAGCGAAGCACUUAAGUUUGAUUCUUCGGAUGAAGACUUUUGUGACUGAGCGGCGGACGGGUGAGUAACGCGUGGGUAACCUGCCUCAUACAGGGGGAUAACAGUUAGAAAUGACUGCUAAUACCGCAUAAGACCACAGGGUCGCAUGACCCGGUGGUAAAAACUCCGGUGGUAUGAGAUGGACCCGCGUCUGAUUAGCUAGUUGGUGGGGUAACGGCUCACCAAGGCGACGAUCAGUAGCCGACCUGAGAGGUUGAACGGCCACAUUGGGACUGAGAUACGGCCCAG